GAUGAACGCUGGCGGCGUGCCUAAUACAUGCAAGUCGAGCGAACAGAUGAGGAGCUUGCUCCUCUGACGUUAGCGGCGGACGGGUGAGUAACACGUGGAUAACCUACCUAUAAGACUGGGAUAACUUCGGGAAACCGGAGCUAAUACCGGAUAAUAUAUUGAACCGCAUGGUUCAAUAGUGAAAGACGGUUUUGCUGUCACUUAUAGAUGGAUCCGCGCCGCAUUAGCUAGUUGGUAAGGUAACGGCUUACCAAGGCAACGAUGCGUAGCCGACCUGAGAGGGUGAUCGGCCACACUGGAACUGAGAAACGGUCCAGACACCUACGGGAGGCAGCAGUAGGGAAUCUUCCGCAAUGGGCGAAAGCCUGACGGAGCAACGCCGCGGGAGGGAUGAAGGUCUUCGGAUCGUAAAACUCUGUUAUUAGGGAAGAACAAAUGUGUAAGUAACUAUGCACGUAUUGACGGUACCUAAUCAGAAAGCCACGGCUAACUACGUG
Molecule: ribosomal RNA, 497 nt
Filed under: uncultured bacterium
Lineage: Bacteria
Description: partial 16S ribosomal RNA
Rfam family: Bacterial small subunit ribosomal RNA
Source: RNAcentral